RNAcentral lists this long non-coding RNA (1977 nucleotides) under Hordeum vulgare. Its description in RNAcentral is "long non-coding RNA (HVUL_LNC021611)". The record is from RNAcentral. Lineage: Eukaryota; Viridiplantae; Streptophyta; Magnoliopsida; Poales; Poaceae.
UAAUGAACACCCAUAACAUUUAUUCCUUGCUUAGCCAAUAAAAUAUGUAUUACAAUUCAUACGCAUCUACAAAUCAUAUAUACAAGGUAGAAUUAAUCAUAAUAUAUUUUCACAAUAUUACAGCAGCUACUGUUCGCCACUAUUUAGCUGCUAAGACCAUCGCCAAUGUUGCCCGAAACACCACCUCCAGUCUAUUCUCUUUAACAUUAAUCUGCACGCUGAAUCAUCUUUUCCUUCAUCAUUUAGCGCAUAGAAUAUCUUUCUUGUUUCCAGGCUACAUGUUGUUUGUGAUAAAAACAACAAUUCAGUGAAAAUUGUUCUUCACAAAAUGAACAGUUUGCUUGCUCCUUGUCUCAACACACAAGAAUGAAAUCAAAUAAAUCUUGAGUUAAGUAAAUGUAGAAAUUUCAUCUAAAAUAGAACAUAAAAGCUAUGUCAGCCACAUGAGAGUUCCAUUCUGAUUCCUGAAACCUCAUUUGAAAUCCCAACAAUUUAAAAUACAUUGUGCAUAUUCAUUAAUUACAAUAUAAUUCAAGUCCAUUUAUGCUAUAAAGGAACAAAUCAGAUCUAUCUAAAUAUCAUGAAUAUAGAAUCACAAACUGCACACACAUAAAUAUAUUAUUUACAACAAUAAUUCCAACUGAAAACAAUCUUUAAUAAUAAAAUAGCUCCAUACAUAUUUAUCAUUCAAGUCCAAACAUGAUCACUUGAUCAACACAUGAACAAAUAAUCACUUACUUUCAGACUUUUCCAUCUGAUUCAUCACCUGUGAACAAGCAUAUAUUUCCAACAUUUGUGACCAAAACUAUGGUUAUGAAAUGAGGAAAAGUAGCAAGAAUAUUUUGCCAGGAUGUUUCUGAAGGAGUACAAAGUCCUAAUGUAUAAGAUUGUGCAAAACAAGCACCCGUGAGGUGGAUAUAUGACUUCUUUACGUUAGCUGAUGGAUGCAGCUCCAAAAACCAAGCAUUCCUUAUUUUGAACAAAAUGUCCCACGCUAACUUUAUUAUAGGCACACAUAAAGACAAGUGAAUGAUAUGCACACAUUCGUUGGACAAAUAACUCUCAGUAACAACGCUUUUGUCACUGAAGUUUCAGGCUUCCAAAUAUAAAGCUUGGCAUAUAAUUGGCGUCUGCUAAAAAUGGCUCAAUACACCAAUCUAAAUAAUUAUGUGAUCGUCGAGUCUAGGUCCUAGAUUGUUUAAAAUGGCAGUACUGGUGAUGAAACUGGCAACUUGAAGAUCGGAUGUGAUUGAUCUUUCUAUAUUUUAUGGUGAGAUGAUCAUGAUUACAUAAAACAACAUCAAAUAAACUUUUGGUCUGCGUUGAACACCAUCACAAUAUUUUGAGCAAGGAUAGCUAGAAUGGGUUUUAUCUCUGCUAAUAUUGGAACAAUGACUGCAAAUAGAGGUGGAGGUGGAUUUGCAUUUACCAAAAUAAUGUCGGUUUCGAGCUUCUGCCCCUCAAAUAGUUCAUCAAUCUAAAUUAUCCUGUCUACAGCUAGCUCUGAAUAUCCAGUCGAUUGCAUCUUAGGCGAGUAGUUUACACCAACCUGAAUAUCAUGGAAGAGGCGUUGACCGCUACAUCUCAAGAUGCCUUCCGUUGCAGCAUGUUCUCUCCUGCAUUCAUCCUCCGCCCUUCUCAUAUUUGGCCUUCUUACUGUACUCACAACGCCUAUCUUCUCCUUCUCUCCCUACCAGUAACAACACCGUAAGGAUUUUAAUAAAAAAAUUGAUUCAACAUAAAACGUAUUUUGUUAAUUCAUCAUAGCUACAAUAUCCUUACUACUUCAAUCAAUCACUGAAAUAAUAUCACAAACAUCACAAAUUUGAAAUAAAAGUUGGAAGGCGGGAUAAUGGGAAUACCAGCAGUGUGACAGGCUGACAGCGAAAUAACUGGAAGUUACACACCAAGGAUAAUCCAAACCGACCUUGUACAUAUUGUUGUGUUCAUCUCUGAAUCCAUACACCGUGUAGUUUC